Molecule: long non-coding RNA, 1347 nt
Organism: Mercenaria mercenaria
Lineage: Eukaryota; Metazoa; Mollusca; Bivalvia; Venerida; Veneridae
Exons: 2
Source: RefSeq, a predicted model, not a curated record
UGUCCCUCAUUUUAUAGUUCAUUGAUUUUUAGUUCACGAAAUCUCGUGUUCAGGGAGAUUUCGCGGGACUUUCUGAAAGUUGGUUGAAUGGAAAAGGCGUUGGAUAUCGCUUGGUAUCAAAUGUACUUUUUUACAAGUUUUACUGUUCAUCUCAAGCUCUUUUUAGUCUCUGCAAUUGGUCAUCUUACAAAGCAAGUUCCAGCACAGCACAGUAGAAGUUUGUAUGAAUGGCAGAGUGUUUUGUGGUUUACAGUUCGGAGUACUUUGUGGUUUACAGUUCUUACAGAACUGAGCCAGGGUUACGAGGAUUAUGAGAGCUAUGAGGAUUAUGCUAAGGACAGCUUUGAUAGUACUAUAAGUGAUGAAUCUGAAAUGACAAUGAUUGUUGUAGAAGUAAAUAUAGUUAUAGAAGUGAAUAAAUUAAAUCCACGUCUGACAUCUCGUUUGUAUUUAAAUAAAGUAAGGAAAACCAACGAGAUUACAAAUGGAGCCCCCAGUGAGGAUCGAACUCACGACCCCUGGUUUACAAUGAGGAAUCGUGUUUAGAAGUUCAAAAUCAGGCGUGGUGACUAUUCAUAGAUACAUUUUCAGUAUAAUUUAGCUGUGCAGAAACUUUUCAGUUAAGUAAACUAGUAUUUUCAACGAAUGGUCUACAAAGAAGUAUUAUACUUUGUUAAAACGUUUAGUACCGAACGACUCGAGUGCAAGACGGCAACAGACAAACUGUAAUUUGCUGUGUGGUUUAAGUCCAAUUACGAAAUUCUAGUGUCAUGAACAAAAAAAAAAAUUUGAGGACAAAUUUUCAGUCAAGAGGCCAGAGGAGAAUAAACAGUGUUUAAUUUAGAGAGAACCUCAAACAAUUUUGUGUUUAACAGUAUUUUCAUAUAACUUAUUUUACUAGUUGUGUACAAACAUUUACAUUUAGUAUAUAGAUACACCUGGAUGUGGGUAUACAACGGGCGAUACAGAAAUCAACAGCUUACAAAACGGUGUGACAGUUACAGACGAUACAGUGCAUAAACUCUCAAGUGAAACAGUUACAGAACUUUGACAGUUACUUAUUAUAUUUAGCAGCCAGUGGUCCAUAUAUUGUGUUAUAGGUGCAAGUUCCAGCACAGCACAGUAGAAGUUUGUAUGAAUGGCAGAGUGUUUUGUGGUUUACAGUUCGGAGUACUUUGUGGUUUACAGUUCUUACAGAACUGAGCCAGGGUUACGAGGAUUAUGAGAGCUAUGAGGAUUAUGCUAAGGACAGCUUUGAUAGUACUAUAAGUGAUGAAUCUGAAAUGACAAUGAUUGUUGUAGAAGUAAAUAUAGUUAUAGAAGUGAAUAAAUUAAAUCCACGUCUGA